AGGAAUAUAAGUGGUUCAUCUACCAUAAGGAUAUCUAAUAGUGGUGGAGUAGAAGCUGAUAUAUAUAUAUAUAUAUAUAUAUAUAUAUUUUUUUUUUCUCUCUGCUAGUUCCUUGAGGGUAAAAGCCUUCUGAGAGAAUAGCACCAAGCUGAGAGAUAGAUGCCCCCCCAGGAGCUGCUUAUCGAACUCCGCUGGUCUGAUGAAUGCAUUUUCUCUCCUGCCUCGCCCAGUGAAAACUGAUAGCCGUGUGAUGUAACUGCCUUCUUGUGGAACUGCUCCACUGUUUUCUCUCCGCAGGGAAAACACUGGAGAAUGGGUUGUGCAAAAUAAGGAAAGAAACCAUGAAGACAUAGGAUCCAGGAAACAAGACCUGAACCAGGAAUGAGACAAAGGGAUGUCCAGGGAGAGAAAAAGAGAGCACAAGCAAGGGGAACGGCACACAGAAAGAGAGUUAGAAGCAGACUCCCCCUUGAGCAGAGAGAAGAAGGUGGGGCUCAACCCCAGGACCCUGGGAUCAUGACCCAAGCAGAAGGCAGAGGCUUAACUGACUGAGCCGGCCCAG
Molecule: long non-coding RNA, 562 nt
Filed under: Mustela putorius furo (domestic ferret)
Lineage: Eukaryota; Metazoa; Chordata; Mammalia; Carnivora; Mustelidae
Description: lncRNA (ENSMPUG00000026759.1)
Source: RNAcentral